RNAcentral lists this ribosomal RNA (440 nucleotides) under uncultured bacterium. RNAcentral describes it as "bacterial SSU rRNA". It matches the Rfam family "Bacterial small subunit ribosomal RNA", at positions 338 to 795 of the family's 1533-position model. The record is from RNAcentral.
CCUACGGGUGGCUGCAGUGGGGAAUAUUGGACAAUGGGCGAAAGCCUGAUCCAGCAAUGCCGCGUGAGUGAUGAAGGCCUUAGGGUUGUAAAGCUCUUUUACCAGGGAUGAUAAUGACAGUACCUGGAGAAUAAGCUCCGGCUAACUCCGUGCCAGCAGCCGCGGUAAUACGGAGGGAGCUAGCGUUGUUCGGAAUUACUGGGCGUAAAGCGCACGUAGGCGGCCAUUCAAGUCAGAGGUGAAAGCCCGGGGCUCAACCCCGGAACUGCCUUUGAAACUAGAUGGCUUGAAUCUUGGAGAGGCGAGUGGAAUUCCGAGUGUAGAGGUGAAAUUCGUAGAUAUUCGGAAGAACACCAGUGGCGAAGGCGACUCGCUGGACAAGUAUUGACGCUGAGGUGCGAAAGCGUGGGGAGCAAACAGGAUUAGAUACCCCAGUAGUC